AGUUAGCGACAGGGAGGGAUGCGCGCCUGGGUGUAGUUGUGGGGGAGGAAGUGGCUAGCUCAGGGCUUCAGGGGACAGACAGGGAGAGAUGACUGAGUUAGAUGAGACGAGGGGGCGGGCUGGGGGUGCGAGAAGGAAGCUUGGCAAGGAGACUAGGUCUAGGGGGACCACAGUGGGGCAGGCUGCAUGGAAAAUAUCCGCAGGGUCCCCCAGGCAGAACAGCCACGCUCCAGGCCAGGCUGUCCCUACUGCCUGGUGGAGGGGGAACUUGACCUCUGGGAGGGCGCCGCUCUUGCAUAGCUGAGCGAGCCCGGGUGCGCUGGUCUGUGUGGAAGGAGGAAGGCAGGGAGAGGUAGAAGGGGUGGAGGAGUCAGGAGGAAUAGGCCGCAGCAGCCCUGGAAAUGAUCAGGAAGACCAAGGGCUGUGAACCCGCCUGGGGAUGAGGCCUGGUCUUGUGGAACUGAACUUAGCUCGACGGGGCUGACCGCUCUGGCCCAGGGUGGUAUGUAAUUUUCGCUCGGCCUGGGACGGGGCCCAGGCCGGGCCCAGCCUGGUGGAGCGUCCAGGUCUGGGUGCGAAGCCAGGCCCCUGGGCGGAGGUGAGGGGUGGUCUGAGGAGUGAUGUGGAGUUAAGGCGCCAUCCUCACCGGUGACUGGUGCGGCACCUAGCAUGUUUGACAGGCGGGGACUGCGAGGCACGCUGCUCGGGUGUUGGGGACAACAUUGACCAACGCUUUAUUUUCCAGGUGGCAGUGCUCCUUUUGGACUUUUCUCUAGGUUUGGCGCUAAACUCUUCUUGUGAGCUCACUCCACCCCUUCUUCCUCCCUUUAACUUAUCCAUUCACUUAAAACAUUACCUGGUCAUCUGGUAAGCCCGGGACAGUAAGCCGAGUGGCUGUUGGAGUCGGUAUUGUUGGUAAUGGUGGAGGAAGAGAGGCCUUCCCGCUGAGGCUGGGGUGGGGCGGAUCGGUGUUGCUUGCCUGCAGAGAGGGUGGGGAGUGAAUGUGCACCCUUGGGUGGGCCUGCAGCCAUCCAGCUGAAAGUUACAAAAAUGCUUCAUGGACCGUGGUUUGUUACUAUAGUGUUCCUCAUGGCGAGCAGAUGGAACCGGGAGACAUGGAGUCCCUGGCCAGUGUGAGUCCUAGCAUUGCAGGAGGGGAGACCCUGGAGGAGAGAGCCCGCCUCAAUUGAUGCCUGCAGAUUGAAUUUCCAGAGGCUUAGGAGGAGGAAGUUCUCCAAUGUUCUGUUUCCAGGCCUUGCUCAGGAAGCCCUGUAUUCAGGAGGCUACCAUUUAAAGUUUGCAGAUGAGCUUAUGGGGGGCAAUCUUAAAAAGUCCACAGCAGAUGCAUCCGGCUCGAGGGGCCAUCAGCUUUGAAUAAAUGCUUGUUCCAGAGCCCAUGAAUGCCAGCAGGCACCCCUCCUUUCCUGGGGUAAAGGUUUUCAGAUGCUGCAUCUUCUAAAUUGAGCCUCCGGUCAUACUAGUUUUGUGCUUGGAACCUUGCUUCAAGAAGAUCCCUAAGCUGUAGAACAUUUUAACGUUGAUGCCACAACGCAGAUUGAUGCCUUGUAGAUGGAGCUUGCAGAUGGAGCCCCGUGACCUCUCACCUACCCACCUGUUUGCCUGCCUUCUUGUGCGUUUCUCGGAGAAGUUCUUAGCCUGAUGAAAUAACUUGGGGCGUUGAAGAGCUGUUUAAUUUUAAAUGCCUUAGACUGGGGAUAUAUUAGAGGAAGCAGAUUGUCAAAUUAAGGGUGUCAUUGUGUUGUGCUAAACGCUGGGAGGGUACAAGUUGGUCAUUCCUAAAUCUGUGUGUGAGAAAUGGCAGGUCUAGUUUGGGCAUUGUGAUUGCAUUGCAGAUUACUAGGAGAAGGGAAUGGUGGGUACACCGGUAGUGCUCUUUUGUUCUUGCUUCGUUUUUUUAAACUUGAACUUUACUUCGUUAGAUUUCAUAAUACUUUCUUGGCAUUCUAGUAAGAGGACCCUGAGGUGGGAGUUGUGGGGGACGGGGAGAAGGGGACAGCUUGGCACCGGUCCCGUGGGCGUUGCAGUGUGGGGGAUGGGGGUAUGCAGCUUGGCACUGGUACUGGGAGGGAUGAGGGUGAAGAAGGGGAGAGGGUUGGUUAGAGAUACAGUGUGGGUGGUGGGGGUGGUAGGAAAUGCAGGUUGAAGGGAAUUCUCUGGGGCUUUGGGGAAUUUAGUGCGUGGGUGAGCCAAGAAAAUACUAAUUAAUAAUAGUAAGUUGUUAGUGUUGGUUAAGUUGUUGCUUGGAAGUGAGAAGUUGCUUAGAAACUUUCCAAAGUGCUUAGAACUUUAAGUGCAAACAGACAAACUAACAAACAAAAAUUGUUUUGCUUUGCUACAAGGUGGGGAAGACUGAAGAAGUGUUAACUGAAAACAGGUGACACAGAGUCACCAGUUUUCCGAGAACCAAAGGGAGGGGUGUGUGAUGCCAUCUCACAGGCAGGGGAAAUGUCUUUACCAGCUUCCUCCUGGUGGCCAAGACAGCCUGUUUCAGAGGGUUGUUUUGUUUGGGGUGUGGGUGUUAUCAAGUGAAUUAGUCACUUGAAAGAUGGGCGUCAGACUUGCAUACGCAGCAGAUCAGCAUCCUUCGCUGCCCCUUAGCAACUUAGGUGGUUGAUUUGAAACUGUGAAGGUGUGAUUUUUUCAGGAGCUGGAAGUCUUAGAAAAGCCUUGUAAAUGCCUAUAUUGUGGGCUUUUAACGUAUUUAAGGGACCACUUAAGACGAGAUUAGAUGGGCUCUUCUGGAUUUGUUCCUCAUUUGUCACAGGUGUCUUGUGAUUGAAAAUCAUGAGCGAAGUGAAAUUGCAUUGAAUUUCAAGGGAAUUUAGUAUGUAAAUCGUGCCUUAGAAACACAUCUGUUGUCUUUUCUGUGUUUGGUCGAUAUUAAUAAUGGCAAAAUUUUUGCCUAUCUAGUAUCUUCAAAUUGUAGUCUUUGUAACAACCAAAUAACCUUUUGUGGUCACUGUAAAAUUAAUAUUUGGUAGACAGAAUCCAUGUACCUUUGCUAAGGUUAGAAUGAAUAAUUUAUUGUAUUUUUAAUUUGAAUGUUUGUGCUUUUUAAAUGAGCCAAGACUAGAGGGGAAACUAUCACCUAAAAUCAGUUUGGAAAACAAGACCUAAAAAGGGAAGGGGAUGGGGAUUGUGGGGAGAGAGUGGGCGAGGUGCCUUUACUACAUGUGUGAUCUGAAAACCCUGCUUGGUUCUGAGCUGCGUCUAUUGAAUUGGUAAAGUAAUACCAAUGGCUUUUUAUCAUUUCCUUCUUCCCUUUAAGUUUCACUUGAAAUUUUAAAAAUCAUGGUUAUUUUUAUCGUUGGGAUCUUUCUGUCUUCUGGGUUCCAUUUUUUAAAUGUUUAAAAAUAUGUUGACAUGGUAGUUCAGUUCUUAACCAAUGACUUGGGGAUGAUGCAAACAAUUACUGUCGUUGGGAUUUAGAGUGUAUUAGUCACGCAUGUAUGGGGAAGUAGUCUCGGGUAUGCUGUUGUGAAAUUGAAACUGUAAAAGUAGAUGGUUGAAAGUACUGGUAUGUUGCUCUGUAUGGUAAGAACUAAUUCUGUUACGUCAUGUACAUAAUUACUAAUCACUUUUCUUCCCCUUUACAGCACAAAUAAAGUUUGAGUUCUAAACUCAUUAGAAUUGUUGUAUUGCUAUGUUACAUUUCUCGACCCCUAUCACAUUGCCUUCAUAACGACUUUGGAUGUAUCUUCAUAUUGUAGAUUUAGGUCUAGAUUUGCUAGCUCCAAGUAAUUAAGGCCAUGUAGGAGAGCAUGGUAACCACAGAUAGAACUGGUAUUAUCCCAAGUGGUCUGCAGACUGCUGAGUGGGGAUGGGAUCUGCUCUCUGUUGAGAGUUGGUAAUCAUUGGUUUGAAAUGUGAUGAAACCACUCAAGCCAAUGAAGGUGGGUGUGUAGGUGGGGAGUACUUUGCCAUAAUAUUUUAAAACAUUACCUGGUUAGAGUUCUAAGUGGUACUUAUUUUUGUUUGGUUAGGGGAAAGCCUGAAUAAAAACAGAAAUGGACACAUAAUAUGCAUAUUCCAUAGUCUUUGGGAGGCUGGAAUGUGCCUGGGAUUUGGGUCUAAGUGUAUGCGUAAUUCUUACCUCACUAAAGAAUUUGCCUUGUUUUUUUCCUUUUGGUGAGUGACUAAAACGUCUGGGCUUCCCUGUGUGCGUGCUACAGUAAGCAAGCAGAGGCUGUGCAAAGGUGUGAGCAGGAUCACGUGGAAUCUGGAGGAUACAUCUUGGCUUGCAAACUGCCUCUGUCUCCUGGGUGGGACUGUUCUGUCCUUGCACUGCUGUUCUGUGUUACCUCUUGGGGUGUAAGGUUUUGCUUACAGGAGACAAACUUUGGGCGUAGAAUGGAAGCCACUGCCAGCCUCUGUGCUGAGAAGGAAGGUGCUUGUUUCAAAGGGAGCAGCAAGGGAGGCUUGUUCUACUCACCUGGGCCUGUUUGCCUGAGAAGGGGAGAUAAGGGCUGAACUGGGACUAGCCAGGGGGACCAACACAAAUGGUGGGGGAUCAUGACCUGAAGGAUUCUUUCCUUCCCAUGAGCUGCAGGGCUGGUUGCCGUCCUUGCAACUGUGUCUUAUUUGCCUGUGCCGUUAUAUCUUGGUGACCCCUCCACGUGUACACUACUGACAAACGGGUGGAGUGCUGGGGAGAAGUCACUGUGCCGCCCACCUAGUAAACCUUCUGUCUGUGCUCAUGGCAUCUCCAAGAUGGGGCACUGCUGUGUGCAGAAUCCAGGGUCCUCUUUCUGCUUGCAACUCCUUUCCCUGGAUGCCCCAGAAACAAUCCAGGCCUCCUUUCCUAUCUUACCCCUUUGCUUUGCUUUUUACCCCAGCACCUCUAUAACCGCCUUCUCUUCUUUUCAGAACUCCUUGUUUCUCGUCCUGUUUUUUAUGAUUACAAAACUCUUGCUUCCACCCUGGAAGAUAACUGCUAUAGAUGCCUGUAUGUAAAUGGUGCUGUCUCCAGCAACUGGCAUGCUGAAGAAGAAUUGAUUCACGGGGUAUAAAUGUUGGGGAUUGGAAGUGGGGAUGAAAUGGCACUUGUUGAUACAGGAGCAGAGAGGUGAGGCCGACUGCUGAAGACAGCUCGCCACCCUCCUUGCCUCCACUCCAAUCCAGGGGCUGGGGCCACAUUCUUUGCCUUCAUUUAUCCUCAGAUCAGGUGAGAUCGACAGGAGGUGUUGAUGGCAGUGCCAGCAAUUAUUGCUAAUCCGUUUGCAUCCUUAUGCAUAGAUCUGAAUUCAGACUUUGUGAAUUUCCAGAGGUGUGGGUAAUAUAAUAGAAUUCAGUGAGUGGGCAUGGCUGAUCUUGUGCAAAUUAAAAGUUAUGGGGCAUAAGAAUAGCAAAAGUUGAACUUCUUUUAAAAAGGAAAGUACCCUGAGAGCCAGUAUUGGUUGAGGCUCUUCAGUAUGCCCAGGUUGGCAGCACUGAGAACCGCAGGAACGGCCUGUUGUUACAAAAAGGAGAUUGACUCAGCUGCCCUUGGUGCAUCUGACUGACUAUGACUGCUGAGAGAUUCCAAGGACCCUUAAUGCCAGGGCUAACCUCUCCAUGUGCAGUGAGACCUCUGGAGGAAGUGUCAUCCUCUGGCUUUGUGUGGUACUCAUUAUGGUGCAGUGCGGGCAUGAAAUGAAGACACCCAAAUAGGCUUACAGAUACGAUAUGUUUUAAAUGUUCGUAUUUAACAAAAACAUACUGACACUGUUUGGAAAUGGCAACAGGAAGAUAGCAAAAUGAAUACUAACAUUACGAAAAGAUGAACAGGUACAUGUUCCAAGGCAGGUGGCUGUGAACUUCCUCUGAGUGAAGGCAUCCCCUCCAGCACCUUUCAGCCUGCUAGUUAGGACGACCCGCCGCCACCCUCCAGGACCUCCAGCCCUGCACUGCCUUUCCUCUCUUUUAAAUAAUUCUUCAUUGAGUUCUAAUAUGUAAAAAAAAAAAGUUUACUGUAAAGUUUGCAAAUAAGGAAAUUUUUUUUAAAAGUCCUCAGUAAUCUUACCAGUAACAAUUGUUAUGGGCACAUUUGCUUUUGGAAGAUUUCUUUUGUAUGCAUGGGAUAAGUACAUUUUUAAACAAAAAUGGGAUUAUGCCAUAAAUUCUAUUUUGUGACUUUAAUAUAUAGUGAACACCUUUUUUAAUGAUGACAGGAUGUUCCCUUGCAUGGCUGUAUCAAUUUAAACAAUCUUGUUUCAAUGGGCAUACAGGGUAUUUUCUAGUUUUUUUUUCCUCUUAGAAAAUAAUACUUGCGAUGACUUUCCUUGUAGCUCAGACUUUUUCACGUCUGUUGUUAUCUCUUUGGGAAUGCUGAAUACAUACAUUUCGAGAAGGAAAUGACUGUUAAACUCUUAAGACUUCAGGUUCAUAUUGCUAAACUGCCCAGCAGGGAGGGAUUUUUUCAAUUAGUGUUCUCACUGGUGAGGCAAACCUGAUGCCUUCCCCUCUUCCUCAGAACCGGCUUUAUCACAUUGAAAACCUUUGCUCCUCCGACGGAUCGAGUCUGCUUUCCCUCUGGAUGUGAGCAUUGCUUUGUCUGCUGGUGACUGAACAUCUCUACCUUGUGUCAAUUGGCCAUUUGUGGUGUGUGUGUGUGUGCGUGUGUGUGUGUGUGUGUGUGUAUGAUUUUCUAAUUCCUAGUCAUUUUUCUAUUGAUUGUUUUGCAAAAGCCAUUUACAUCUUAAGGAUAUUGAUAAUCUUUUGUUAUAUUUGAUGCAAAUAUUUUUUUCCAGUUUAUAGGUUGCCUUUUAAUUUUGUGUUUCAGGUAGAUAAAAGUUAAACGAUUUUCUUAGGUUAGUUUAUCACUGUGGUUUCUGAACUUGUUAUGUGUAGAUCUUUUCCACCCCAAGAGUACAUAAAUAUUAAUCCAUACUUUCUUAUGGAACUUGUAUGGUUUCGUUUUUUACAUUUAAACCUUCUUCCCCGUGGUGUGUGUUGUGGAAUCUGUGUUUGUGUGAGGAGGGGCAUGGUGCUCUCAGAACCCACCUCCUGUGGCCAGAGAGCCCUGUCCUGUGAGGGUGGUUGUCACAGUGGCAGGGUUCAAUUCAGAAGACCUUGAGGGCAGGCUGAUGUUUCCUGAAUGGGCCCCUGGUUGUUGCUUGUCCCUGACUCUCCAUUUCCCCAUCUGAGUGGAUUUGGACCUAAUAGGGCACUGGAGCUGGUUCGAAUCCUGACUGGACUACUUGGCAACUUUAUGUCUGGGAGCAAGUUACUUAACCUCCCCAAGCCUGUGUCUGUGAAAUGCGGGUAAAUGAAUGUAGAUGUUUGGCAGCAGCUACUCCUUGUUGAGCUCUCACAGUGAACUCUCCUGCCUCUGCCCUCCUUCCCCGCCUCCCCUGGUGCCUAGCGUCAGGUCUAGCCACUUCCUCCUGGGCCCCUCUCCCUUUUCUGUGGCUGGCUGCCUGCCCGCCUGGCGCUGGACCUUUCAUGUAACGGGAAUCAGCAUGUAUAUUCUGGUCUGGUCUGUUUCUACACUUAAUUUUGUUUCCAGUAGUAUUUCCCUGUACCGGCAGAGUUCACAAACACAUUUGAAGAGGCUUUUUCUCAGGAUUCUUAACCUUCCCAAAGGAAGUCCCAUGGAUGGGUUUCUAGAAGUCUAUAAAUGCUCUGAAAUUGUAUUUUUCUGUGGAAAGCAUAACUUUCAUCUGCUUGUUCGUGCUCAAAAAAGAUCAUGAAUGAAUGAUUGCAUGAUUUUAUGCCAUUGUGCUUAUACUAAAGGAUAUGUAGCCCAUCUCUUGAGCUGUUAAACUGUUUUGACUACUUUAAAUCGUGCAGCUGUGAGCAUCUCUGUAAAUUUAGUGUACACAUGUAUCCCCUGGAGUGGCAUUGCCUCGGCAGUGAGCACUUAUGGUUUUAUAACUCUCUUCACAGACUCAAAUGACUCCAGAAAGCUACACUUCCUGUUGUGAGUAUAUGAUAUCCAUUUCCCUACAUAGCCACUAACAUCAGGUUUUUACAAUUUUAUUUAUUUCUUGCUACUUUAAGAAAUUUUUGUGGUGAAAUACAUAUAAUAGAAGUUGACUAUCUGAAUCAUUUUUAAGUAUACAUUCAGUAGUGUUAAGUAUGUCGCCAUUGUUGUACAACCAAUCUCCAGAACUUUUUCAUCUUGCAAAACAAACUCUGUACCCAUUAAAUAACAUUAAACAUUCCAUUCCCUCCAGCCUCAGCAACCCCAUUCUACUUUCUGUUUCUGUGAGUUUGACUAUUCCAAGCACUUCAUAUCAGUUAAAUCAUGAAGUAUUUGUCUGUCUGUGACUGGCUUAUUUCUCUGAGCACAGUGUCCUCGAGAUGCGUCUAUGUUGUAGCAUAUGUCAGAAUUUCCUUCCUUUUUAAAAGAUCCAAAUAAUAUUCUUAUUUUAUAUCUUUUUUUUAUCCAUUCAUCCAUUAGUGGACACUUGGGUUGCUUUUGGCUAUUGUAAAUAAUGGUGCUAUGUACAAAUAUCUAUAUUAUUGUAUUUACAAGUAUAAUGCUGUAAUGUACACACAUCUUUUUGAGAUCCUACCUUCAGUUCUUUUGAGUAUAUAGCCAGAAGUGGUAUUACUAAAUCUUACGAUAUUUCUAUUUUUAAUUUAUUGAGGAACCACUGUAGUUUUUCAUAGCAACUGCACCAUUUUACGUUCUCACCAAGAGUGCACAAGGGUUCCGAGGUUCCCACAUCCUCCCCAACACUUGUUAUUUUCUGCUUUUUUUAGAUUGCAGCCAUCAUAGUGGGUGUGAGGUGACAUUUCAUUGUGGUUUUGAUUUGCAUUUCCCUAAUGAGGAGUGAUGCUGAGCAUCUUUUCAUAUGCUUACUGGUCAUUUGUAUGUUGUCUUUGGAAAAAUGUCUAUUCAAGUCCUUUGACUAUUUUAAAAAUUGGGUUAUUAGAGUUAUCGUUGUUGUUGACUUGUAGGAGUUUCUUUCUAUAUUCUGGAUAUUAAUCCCCUAUCAGAUAUAUGAUUUGCAAAUAUCUUCUCUUAUUCCAUAAGGUUACUUUUUCACUUUGUUGAUUGUGUUCUUUGAUGUAUAGAAGUUUUUAGUUUUGAAAUAGUCUAAUUUAUCUGUUUUUACUUUUGUGGUCUGUGCUUUUGGUGUCAUAUCCAAGAAAUCCUUGCCAAAUCCAACGUUAUAAGGUACUUUUAAGGUAUUUUAGUUGUCUUAGUCUAUAUUUCUGUACUCACCUUUCUUUAUCCACUCAUCAGUUGAUGGGCAUGUAGGUUGGUUCCAUAUCUUUGCAAUUCUGAAUUGUGCUAUGAUCAGGUGUCUUUUUAGUAUAAUGAUUUACUCUCCUUUGGGUAGAUACCCAGUAGUGGGAUUGCUGGAUCGAAUGGUUUUUAUAAUUUUCUAUUUUACCACAGUUUCUCUCUGCAUUUUUCCUCUUUGACCACUAACCAUGUGAAAUUCUCAUAUUGACCUUUAUAAUGAUCAUGAACUCUUAGUAUCAUUGGGAAGGCCACAUUUGCCACUUAUGAUUGUAAACCUUAUCCUCCAUUUUUCCUGUUAUUGUUGGUGCAAAAAGCACCUAUUAUACCAGGACUUUAAAAAUCAGUCUGAUAAGUCUUUGAUAAGUCUAAUAAUAAUAACUGAUAAGUCCAUUGAAUUUGCUUCUGAUUACUUUUUCUUUAGUAGCUAAACAUGUAUGUACUCCUAUGAUUACAAUGAACACUCCUCUCCAUUUAAAUUAAUUAUUUACAUUGAUGAAAUAGCAAAAUGUUAAUGACUAAAUACUGUCUUGGUUUUUUCGUUCCAGGUCAGUCAAUAUUAACUUCUUAUAAUUUUCUUUUUUUUCUUUAUGUGUGUGUGUGUGUGUAUUUUUUUUUUUUUAAUUUCAAUGGCUUUUGGGGUACAAAUGGCUUUUGGUCAUAUAGAUGAAUUCUACAGUAGUGAAGUCUGAGAUUUUACUGCACCGGUCACCUGAGUAGUGUACAUUGUACCCAAUAUGUGGUUUUUUAUACCUUGCCCCCCUCUUACCCUCCCCACUUUGAGUCUCUAGUGUCCAUUAUGUCACUCUGUAUACCUUUUUGUACCCAUAAGUUAGCUCUCACUUAUAAGUGAGAACACACAGUAUUUGGUUUUCCAUUCCUGAGUUGCUUCACUUAGAAUAAUAUCCUCCAGCUCCAUCCAAAAUUGCUGCAAAAAAAAAAAAAACCACAAACAUUAUUUUGUUCUUUUUUAUUGCUAAGUCAUAUUCCAUGGUGUAGAGAUACCACAUUUUAUUUAUCCACUCACUGGUUGAUGGGUUGGUUCCACAUCUUUGCAAUUGUGACUUGUACUGCCAUCAAGUGUCUUUCUGGUAUAAUGACUUCUUUUCCUUUGGGUAGAUACCCAGGAGUGGGAUUGCUAGAUCAAAUGGUUCUUAACAUUUUCUCUCUGGAUCUAUUUCUGGAAAUUUUAGGCUCCAGUUUUUGUUGUUGUUGUUAAUAAAAUGCAAUGGAAUGUAAUGAUCAUCACUUUUCAUUAUGCUUUAAAAUCUGGUAAAUGGAGGCUAGAACACUCCUGUAAGGCAAGAAUAUUCUCUCUGUUGGAACUCAAAUACACAGAACUGGGUAAAUCUCAAUCUUAAUCUUUGAUUCAGGACACAACAUGGCUCUCUUUUACUUGCUUUCUUUAAUUGUUUUUUAAUAAUGUGGUAAGCAUUUCUGAAUCUCCUAUCCAAUACAAAAACUAGGACAAUACAGACAGUAACUCCUAUGGUUACAAUGAACACUCCUCUCCACUUAAAUUAAUUAUUUACACUGAUGAAAUUGAAAUAGCAAAAUUUUAAUGACUAAAUACUGUCUUUGAUUUUUUGUUCCAGGUCUGUCAAUAUUAACUUCUUAUAAUUUUCUUUUUUUUUCUUUAUGUGUGUGUGUGUGUGUGUAUAUAUAUAUAUUUAAUUUCAAUGGCUUUUGGGGUACAAAUGGCUUUUGGUCAUAUAUAUGAGUUCUACAGUAGUGAAGUCUGAGAUUUUACUACACCUUCCACUUAUGUGGUCCCACACCACCCGCCUCCCCUGCCGCCUCCUGCCACCCCCUAGGCCAAGGUAAUAAUCAUCCUGAAUCCUGGGUUUAUCUCUCACUUGCUUUCUUUUCAUAUAAUUUUGCAAAAGAAUCUGAUCUAAAUGUGUUUUUCAGAGUAUAUAUUUAUAUUUUAGCUGUUCUUAGAGAAAAUUUAUUAUUUUGCAUGUAAUCUUAUGGAACAUUCUCAUUUAAUACCAUGGUAAGAUUCAGCCCUUGCCCAGGGGAUAGUUCAUUUAGUUUGUUUACUGGAUAGAGCUCAUCAUGUGACUAUACCUCAGUUAGUUUAUCAGUUCUCCCAUCCAUGGUGACUAGGUUGCCUCUCAGCCUCUCAACAACACUGUUUCUCAGUGUCCUUGUAGAAGUGAUAUGUGGGUGUUUUCUCCUUACACAGAGUUGAAAGGUGACGACAACAACGUUGGCACUACCAAUCCCCCACCCUCCAGAGGGGUAACCAGUGUUACCAGUUUGCUGUGUUUCCUGCUACACCUCGCCUUAUUCACUUCCAUUUGUAUCUGAAAAACGUGUUGCAUGGUUUCUUUUCUAUAGAAGUGGUAAAAUGCUAUUGUGUCCUGUACAUUAUUGAUUACUUUUUUUCAUUUAACAGUAGGGAGAUGCCUGGGAGUACACAGAGAACUGCCCUCAUUGUUUUCAACUUCUGCACUGUAUGUCUGUGAGUUUAGCCAUUCUGCUGUUAAUGGAAAUUUACAGUAUUCUAAUCUUUUGAUAUUACAAACAGUUCUGUGCGAUCAUCGUCAUACACAACCCCUUGUGCACAAUGCAUGAGUGUUUCUCAGGGUAGGUACCAAGAAGUGAAAUUCCUGGGUCAUAGGGCGUGAGUCCGACAUUUUUCUCCAUUCUGCCCUGUUGCCCUCCAGAGUGGGUGUCCAGCUUUGCAUACCUAAGUAUGAGAGUAUCUGUUGUUCAUAUCCUCUACGACGCUCCAUAUAUGAAACUUAAGUUUCUGCUAGUUGCCAUCUUUGAUCUAUCAUGUAUGCAGUGACCUACUAAGACUGUAAUUGGUACAGUAGAUUCUUGUCAUCUGUGUGUGAAUUUAGCAUUCAUGGGCUUAAUGCUGACAAGGCCCCCAGGGUCCAAGACAUAUAAUCAUGUAUAAUUUUGUCAAGGUAUAAUUUUUUAAAUUGCUUUUGUCAUGUGUCUGCUGGUGAUGCCCAACCCAGUGCUCUGCACCCAGGUCACACUGUGGCUUUGUCCUCUGCUUAUGCCUGCAUUGCAGCAACUGUCCUGAAGAGACCAAAAUUAUGCAGAUUUAGAGGCCACCGUCAUGGCCAGUUGCUGCAGUUUCUUUCCAGAGAACCUGUGUAUGUGUAAAGCUGUACAGGCGUGGGUACACCACACAGCCUGUCUUGCACUGUGGACUGUUGAGUUACUAGUACAUCUAGAAUUCUCCUGGCUAUUCCAGGCUGCAUGUUUACCUUAACCUUCCCUGUGAUGUCUUCAUGCCGUUGUCUUCUUAUGCAAGAAUAAGAGUGUGUUUUGACUGCCCCCAUUUCUGAGGCCUUGUAAGGCCAGAGCUUUGUUGCUUCAUCGGCAGGUUGGGACUUAGAUGGCCGUGAAUGUUUCCUCUCUGCUGCUGCAGUAAGUAAGUGCCCGCACCAUAGUGUGUUUGGAGGCUGAAGUUGAAGCGAGGCUGUGAGGGGAGAUGGACGUGUGAGGAGGGAUGAUGGGGCUUGAGCAAAGUGGGGGAGGGGGCAAAGGCAGUUGGCCCAACACAUUCCCCACCCCUUUGAGAGGUCUGAGGCCUGCAGACCUGGCUCGGAGCCCACCUGGUAGUCCUCAGACUGUGUGUGUGUGUGUGUGUGUGUGUGUGUGUGUGUGUGUGUGUGUGUGUGUGUGUGUGUAAAAGAGAGAAGUUGUGGAGAAAUGGGGGGCUGAUUCUGCUCAGAUUCAUCAGGAUGAGUAGAAGGCACCCAGCUCUCACCCUGGCCUGACAUGUGUGUCCCUGAGCAGGUUACAGUCCUCUCUGAGCCUCUGCUUCCCAUCUGGACCCUGCUGGGCAGGGCUUCUGAGCUCCUUAGCACUAGCAGGAGGGGCUCCAGGGGCCCUCCCUCCAUGGCAGCCAGGACAGGACUCUCAAAUGAGGACAGCAGAGCUCGUGGGGGGCUCCCACGGACCCGCCGUGGGCCCAGGGGAGGCAGAGCCUGAGCCAACAGCAGUGGUGCUGUGGACCGUGGAUCCUGAGGGUGGCCUGGGGCAAGUACCGGCUGAGGGUCCAGGUGGGCUUUGUGUACCUUUGGGUCCUGGGGCCCUGGUGACUUGGACUCCAGGUUAGAGUCAAGUGACAGGAGAAAGGCUGGUGGGGCCCUGUGCUUCCGACUUCAUUUCGAGUGAUGGCAGUUCCCAGGAAGGAAUCCACAGCUGACGGUGGCUGACAGAUCAGAGAAUGGAAGGCGAGGCAGGCGGGCGUCUGCGUGACCUCAGGUGCUUGGGGCCCAGCAGACCCAGAGAACCAUUUCCACUAGGCCAGGGUGCCGGAAGUGUCCACAGGUCUUAGAUUCCCUGUUCAGAUGAAAAGAUUUGUGCCUUUAAUGAUAAAAGUGAUCUGCAUAGAGUCAAAAAUUCAAGCCAUGGGUAUAAAAUGCAAGUAAAAUCCCUGCCCUCACCUAUCCCACCCUACUACACAGAGAUGUCCUCUCGAGUUUCCUAGACUCACUCUGGAAAUUUCUGUAUACACACAGAAGCUUGUGCCUCUGCUCGUGAAGGCAGAGGGAGGGAGAGCUGAAGGGCCAGCACCUUCUCACCUGUGGGCCCCCUCAGUGCUCGGUCCCAGAGCAUGCAGGACUGUGCCUCGUGUUCAGUUUGCUGGUCUGACUUCAUGCUCCUUGGGCAGGAUAUGCAUGUGCCAUGCUAGGAGACAUGUGGAUGUGAAGCUGGGGGACAAUGUCCCCUGGCUAUGCCUUUACAAGGGAAGUAAGGAAGGUAGGAGGUGAG
RNAcentral lists this long non-coding RNA (13942 nucleotides) under Homo sapiens (human). RNAcentral describes it as "LHRI_LNC1842.5". The stretch from base 1079 to 1237 matches the Rfam family "Nuclear enriched abundant transcript 1 conserved region 3". The record is from RNAcentral. Lineage: Eukaryota; Metazoa; Chordata; Mammalia; Primates; Hominidae.